RNAcentral lists this ribosomal RNA (253 nucleotides) under uncultured bacterium. RNAcentral's name for it is "partial 16S ribosomal RNA". It matches the Rfam family "Bacterial small subunit ribosomal RNA", at positions 524 to 776 of the family's 1533-position model. The record is from RNAcentral.
UACAGAGGUCCCGAGCGUUGUUCGGAUUCACUGGGCGUAAAGGGUGCGUAGGUGGCAUGUUAAGUUUGAUGUGAAAGCUCAGGGCUCAACCCUGAAAUGGCAUUGAAUACUAGCGUGCUGGAGGUUUGGAGGGGGGACUGGAAUUCUCGGUGUAGCAGUGAAAUGUGUAGAUAUCGAGAGGAACACCAGUGGCGAAGGCGAGUCCCUGGACAACACCUGACACUGAGGCACGAAAGCUAGGGGAGCAAACAGG